RNAcentral lists this ribosomal RNA (253 nucleotides) under uncultured bacterium. RNAcentral's name for it is "partial 16S ribosomal RNA". It matches the Rfam family "Bacterial small subunit ribosomal RNA", at positions 524 to 776 of the family's 1533-position model. The record is from RNAcentral.
UACGUAGGGACCGAGCGUUGUCCGGAAUCAUUGGGCGUAAAGAGCGUGUAGGCGGCCACUUAAGUCCUGCGUGAAAUCUUGCGGCUCAACCGCAAGCGGUCGUGGGAAACUGGGUGGCUAGAGUGCGGGAGAGGAGAGUGGAAUUCCUGGUGUAGCGGUGGAAUGCGCAGAUAUCAGGAAGAACACCCGUGGCGAAGGCUGCUCUCUGGAACGCAACUGACGCUGAGACGCGAAAGCGUGGGGAGCAAACAGG